RNAcentral lists this ribosomal RNA (302 nucleotides) under Enterobacteriaceae bacterium DBrez 2.5. RNAcentral's name for it is "bacterial SSU rRNA". It matches the Rfam family "Bacterial small subunit ribosomal RNA", at positions 591 to 894 of the family's 1533-position model. Lineage: Bacteria; Pseudomonadati; Pseudomonadota; Gammaproteobacteria; Enterobacterales; Enterobacteriaceae. The record is from RNAcentral.
GAUGUGAAUCCCCGGCUCAACCUGGGAACUGCAUUCGAAACUGGCAGGCUAGAGUCUUGUAGAGGGGGGUAGAAUUCCAGGUGUAGCGGUGAAAUGCGUAGAGAUCUGGAGGAAUACCGGUGGCGAAGGCGGCCCCCUGGACAAAGACUGACGCUCAGGUGCGAAAGCGUGGGGAGCAAACAGGAUUAGAUACCCUGGUAGUCCACGCCGUAAACGAUGUCGACUUGGAGGUAGGGCCCUUGAGGCGUGGCUUCCGGAGCUAACGCGUUAAGUCGACCGCCUGGGGAGUCCGGCCGCAAGGU